UAAAAGAUUGUUUCCUUCAUCGUGUCACCUAAUCUCAUUUCUCUUCUUCUUCUUCACUGAGCUCUCUACAGCGAACGGAGCAAAUUCUUUAAUCCUUCCCUCUUUCUCUCGCUUUUUGGUUUUUCAGAUCAAGAAGCUUUCUCCAAGGUUAGUUUCUUUCUCAAUUCGUUUUCGUUUUUAAUAAAAAGAUUUGGUUUUUAGAACUUGAGCUCUCUAGUCUCCUCCAUCUUCUUACCGGAAAUAGAAAGAAAAAAACAGAGGAAACUGGUUCCAAUAGCAGGUACGUAUAUACACAUACAGGUCUUUGUGAAAACAUGACAUCUCAGCUGAAACAAUCUCUAACCAAGAGAUACGGCUCUCUUGAACUGUGGGAGAUCAUAGUGAUUGCUCUAUUUGCAGGGUUCAUUGUAAUCCUCGCCAUUUCAGUAUGGCUCGGCUUCCGUAAAAAAUCCAAGAGAUCUAAUGCAACAACUCUUCAGGGUGGGAGAGAAAACAGAACAAAAACAAUGGCAGCAGCAGCAGCAGCAACAUCAGCUUCUUUGUUUUCAAUUGGAUCUUGUUACUCGUCUAAAGCCAGCUCCUUUACACCACAGUCUAGGACACAAGCUGUGAACUUUAACUCAAUCCCUAGUUUCACCCGUCUUAGAUCAACCUCACUCAUCUCUGGAUCUGAUUCUUCUUCUUCCUUGACCAAGACUCUCCGCGGUUCUGUGACUAAAGCUCAAACCUCUGACAAGAAGCCUUACGGAUUCAAGAUCAAUGCUUCUUACAAUUUGUGUAUGCCUAGUCUAUAGAUUAACGAGUUCAGGUUUAGCACUUAAGAGUAAGAUGAUCUUGUGGCUAUUUAGAGUUUAGGAGAUACGAUUGAUCUGGGUAGUCUCGUAGAACGAAGCUAGACUGAGUUCAAAUUGAGAUAGUGAUAGGAGAAGGGAGUUUGAGCAUAUAUUAGUCUGCUUGGAAUACAUUGCCAAUGUUUAGAAUCUGAAAUCUCCUCAUUGGUGCUCAGAAGUCUUACUAACCUCUAGCUUCUGUUUUCACUCUAUUUCUCUGCUUCCGUUUAAAACAAACACACAAACCCAAAAGAGCCAAUAAGCUAAGAUGCAUUGUUUAGACUGUUCUUUACAUCUUCUGUGCACAGAGCUGAAUAAAAUCGUUUUAGCACUCAAGCUUUUGACUUGGUAUAUGCCAUGAAGACCAACAUAAGAGAGUUGGAGGGAUGGUUGAAGUGGUGAUUGUGAUAAGUGACUUGCUAGAGACAACUCAUCAUUGCAGCAGAUCAUUCGACGGCAAAAAAAAGCUAUGUCCCUGACCUUGCAAAGAUCAAUAGCAGGCCUAAUAUUCUCCUCUAGUGACUUGGACUUCCAUGGAGAUUGCUUAUCGGUUCUUGGCUACACGUAAAGAGUCAAAGAAAGGGAAACUUUCUUUUUUCGGUGAUCCUCUUGCCUUUCUUCUCUAGUCCACGCCCAUUUCUUUUGAUCCAGGCCCUUCAUUUCAUCAAUACAAUCCAGGACGUCCAUUCAACCCUAAAGACAUGAGUAUCUUCUCAGCCACCAUCGUCAAUGCUCCACCAUCAAUGCCAAACAGCUAGAAACUCCAACGUUCUCCUCCAUUACUUCGCAUAUCUAGUUUCCUUUUCUGCGUAUUUUAUGACCGUUUGGUUCAGCAUUUUGUAUGGACGCAUUUUCUAAGUAAUAAAAAACACGGUUUGUCGUUUGCUUCAAAA
Camelina sativa (false flax) is the source of this 1723-nucleotide non-coding RNA. Lineage: Eukaryota; Viridiplantae; Streptophyta; Magnoliopsida; Brassicales; Brassicaceae. The record is from RefSeq and is a predicted model, not a curated record.